RNAcentral lists this ribosomal RNA (467 nucleotides) under uncultured bacterium. RNAcentral's name for it is "bacterial SSU rRNA". It matches the Rfam family "Bacterial small subunit ribosomal RNA", at positions 329 to 793 of the family's 1533-position model. The record is from RNAcentral.
UACCAGACUCCUACGGGAGGCAGCAGUGAGGAAUAUUGGUCAAUGGGCGGAAGCCUGAACCAGCCAAGUCGCGUGAGGGAAUAAGGCCCUACGGGUCGUAAACCUCUUUUGCCGGGGAGCAAGGGCGGGGACGUGUCCCGGCCCGGAGAGUACCCGGAGAAAAAGCAUCGGCUAACUCCGUGCCAGCAGCCGCGGUAAUACGGAGGAUGCGAGCGUUAUCCGGAUUUAUUGGGUUUAAAGGGUGCGCAGGCGGAAUGUCAAGUCAGCGGUAAAAUUUCGGGGCUCAACCCCGUCGUGCCGUUGAAACUGGCUGUCUUGAGAUGUCGAGAGGUAUGCGGAAUGCGCAGUGUAGCGGUGAAAUGCAUAGAUAUCACGCAGAGCUCCGAUUGCGAAGGCAGCAUACCGGCGCCCAACUGACGCUGAAGCACGAAAGCGUGGGUAUCGAACAGGAUUAGAUACCCCCGUAU